Molecule: ribosomal RNA, 429 nt
Filed under: Actinomycetes bacterium
Lineage: Bacteria; Bacillati; Actinomycetota; Actinomycetes
Also listed under: 1 other name
Description: Actinobacteria bacterium partial 16S ribosomal RNA
Rfam family: Bacterial small subunit ribosomal RNA
Source: RNAcentral
UAGGGAAUCUUCCGCAAUGGGCGAAAGCCUGACGGAGCAACGCCGCGUGAGUGAUGAAGGUCUUCGGAUCGUAAAACUCUGUUAUUAGGGAAGAACAAAUGUGUAAGUAACUAUGCACGUCUUGACGGUACCUAAUCAGAAAGCCACGGCUAACUACGUGCCAGCAGCCGCGGUAAUACGUAGGUGGCAAGCGUUAUCCGGAAUUAUUGGGCGUAAAGCGCGCGCAGGCGGUUUUUUAAGUCUGAUGUGAAAGCCCACGGCUCAACCGUGGAGGGUCAUUGGAAACUGGAAAACUUGAGUGCAGAAGAGGAAAGUGGAAUUCCAUGUGUAGCGGUGAAAUGCGCAGAGAUAUGGAGGAACACCAGUGGCGAAGGCGACUUUCUGGUCUGUAACUGACGCUGAUGUGCGAAAGCGUGGGGAUCAAACAGG